GAUGAACGCUGGCGGCGUGCCUAAUACAUGCAAGUAGAACGCUGAAGGAAGGAGCUUGCUCUUCCCGGAUGAGUUGCGAACGGGUGAGUAACGCGUAGGUAACCUGCCUGGUAGCGGGGGAUAACUAUUGGAAACGAUAGCUAAUACCGCAUAACAGUAGAUGUUGCAUGAUAUCUACUUAAAAGGUGCAAUUGCACCACUACCAGAUGGACCUGCGUUGUAUUAGCUAGUUGGUGAGGUAACGGCUCACCAAGGCGACGAUACAUAGCCGACCUGAGAGGGUGAUCGGCCACACUGGGACUGAGACACGGCCCAGACUCCUACGGGAGGCAGCAGUAGGGAAUCUUCGGCAAUGGACGGAAGUCUGACCGAGCAACGCCGCGUGAGUGAAGAAGGUUUUCGGAUCGUAAAGCUCUGUUGUAAGAGAAGAACGAGUGUGAGAGUGGAAAGUUCACACUGUGACGGUAUCUUACCAGAAAGGGACGGCUAACUACGUG
Molecule: ribosomal RNA, 497 nt
Filed under: uncultured bacterium
Lineage: Bacteria
Description: partial 16S ribosomal RNA
Rfam family: Bacterial small subunit ribosomal RNA
Source: RNAcentral